This 722-nucleotide ribosomal RNA is filed under the name Micrococcus luteus. RNAcentral describes it as "bacterial SSU rRNA". It matches the Rfam family "Bacterial small subunit ribosomal RNA", at positions 96 to 828 of the family's 1533-position model. The record is from RNAcentral. Lineage: Bacteria; Bacillati; Actinomycetota; Actinomycetes; Micrococcales; Micrococcaceae.
UGGCGAACGGGUGAGUAACACGUGAGUAACCUGCCCUUAACUCUGGGAUAAGCCUGGGAAACUGGGUCUAAUACCGGAUAGGAGCGUCCACCGCAUGGUGGGUGUUGGAAAGAUUUAUCGGUUUUGGAUGGACUCGCGGCCUAUCAGCUUGUUGGUGAGGUAAUGGCUCACCAAGGCGACGACGGGUAGCCGGCCUGAGAGGGUGACCGGCCACACUGGGACUGAGACACGGCCCAGACUCCUACGGGAGGCAGCAGUGGGGAAUAUUGCACAAUGGGCGCAAGCCUGAUGCAGCGACGCCGCGUGAGGGAUGACGGCCUUCGGGUUGUAAACCUCUUUCAGUAGGGAAGAAGCGAAAGUGACGGUACCUGCAGAAGAAGCACCGGCUAACUACGUGCCAGCAGCCGCGGUAAUACGUAGGGUGCGAGCGUUAUCCGGAAUUAUUGGGCGUAAAGAGCUCGUAGGCGGUUUGUCGCGUCUGUCGUGAAAGUCCGGGGCUUAACCCCGGAUCUGCGGUGGGUACGGGCAGACUAGAGUGCAGUAGGGGAGACUGGAAUUCCUGGUGUAGCGGUGGAAUGCGCAGAUAUCAGGAGGAACACCGANGGCGAAGGCAGGUCUCUGGGCUGUAACUGACGCUGAGGAGCGAAAGCAUGGGGGAGCGAACAGGAUUAAGAUACCCUGGUAGUCCCAUGCCGUAAAACGUUGGGCACUAGGUGUGGGGA